UACGUAGGGGGCAAGCGUUGUCCGGAUUUAUUGGGCGUAAAGAGCGUGUAGGCGGCCAGAUAGGUCCGUUGUGAAAACUGGAGGCUUAACCUCCAGACGUCGACGGAAACCGUGUGGCUAGAGUCCGGAAGAGGAGAGUGGAAUUCCUGGUGUAGCGGUGAAAUGCGCAGAUAUCAGGAAGAACACCAAUGGCGAAGGCAGCUCUCUGGGACGGUACUGACGCUGAGACGCGAAAGCGUGGGGAGCGAACAGG
This 253-nucleotide ribosomal RNA is filed under the name uncultured bacterium. RNAcentral describes it as "partial 16S ribosomal RNA". It matches the Rfam family "Bacterial small subunit ribosomal RNA", at positions 524 to 776 of the family's 1533-position model. The record is from RNAcentral.